CCCGUGGCGAAAGCGGCGCGCUGGACCACAACUGACGCUGAGGAACGAAAGCUAGGGGAGCAAACAGGAUUAGAUACCCUGGUAGUCCUAGCCCUAAACCAUCAGGAAUUGGGGUGACCCGCGUAGGCGGGUCGUCUCGUAGCUAACGCGUUAAGUCUGCCGCCUGGGAAGUACGAGCGCAAGCUUAAAACUCAAAGGAAUAGACGGGGAUCCGCACAAGUGGUGGAGCAUGUGGUUUAAUUCGACGACAAGCGAGGAACCUCACCAGGGCUUGAAACUAUGCUGCAUUGUACAGAAAUGUACAAGCCUUCGAGGGUGCAUAGCAGGCGUUGCACGGUCGUCGUCAGCUCGUGCCGUAAGGUGUUCUGUUAAGUCAGGAAACGAGCGCAACCCCUAUCGUGUGUUACAGUGUCACACGAGACUGCCCAGAACAAAACGCACUUCGUGCUCAAUUCUCAAUUUUCAAUUCUCAAUUUUCAAACAAUUUUCAAUGAAUUAAUUUUCAAUUUAGAAAUUUAAUCAUUGAGAAAUUAGACAUUGUUUAGAAAUUAGAAAUUGAAAAUUAGAAAUUGAGCGCUUAGCAAAGCGCGUUUCGUUCUGGGAGGAAGGCGGGGAUGACGUCAGAUCAGCGUGGCCCUUUGACGCCCUGGGCUACACACGUGCUACAAUGGCCGGUACAAAGGGUUGCCAAGUCGCAAGACGGAGCUAAUCCCAAAAAACCGGUCUCAGUUCGGAUUGAGGUCUGCAACUCGACCUCAUGAAGCUGGAAUCACUAGUAAUCGCGCAUCAGCCAUGGCGCGGUGAAUACGUUCUCGGAUCUUGUACUCACAAUAAAAGCGCCGGGCAGUUUAAAUUUCCAAGAAGUUAGAAUCUUCUCCUCU
Molecule: ribosomal RNA, 881 nt
Filed under: Minisyncoccota bacterium
Lineage: Bacteria; Bacillati; Minisyncoccota
Description: bacterial SSU rRNA
Rfam family: Bacterial small subunit ribosomal RNA
Source: RNAcentral